Molecule: ribosomal RNA, 301 nt
Filed under: uncultured bacterium
Lineage: Bacteria
Description: partial 16S ribosomal RNA
Rfam family: Bacterial small subunit ribosomal RNA
Source: RNAcentral
CAGUCGCCACGGUAAUACGUAGGUGGCAAGCGUUGUCCGGAAUUAUUGGGCGUAAAGGGCUCGCAGGCGGUUUCUUAAGUCUGAUGUGAAAGCCCCCGGCUCAACCGGGGAGGGUCAUUGGAAACUGGGAAACUUGAGUGCAGAAGAGGAGAGUGGAAUUCCACGUGUAGCGGUGAAAUGCGUAGAGAUGUGGAGGAACACCAGUGGCGAAGGCGACUCUCUGGUCUGUAACUGACACUGAGGAGCGAAAGCGUGGGGAGCGAACAGGAUUAGAUACCCCGGUAGUCCCUGUCUCUUAUAC